UGUGCACUCUGAACCUUUGGAUUUGCAUAGCUUUCUGACUCCAGGAAGCCAGGAUUUUAGCAAUGCCCGCACCAUCUGUCUUUUGUCUGCUGAGGAAUUUAUCCCUGUUUUCAGACGCCAGCAGGGAAACCGGGUCUGUUUAGCAUUCUCACCUAGUUACAGUCAGUACGCCGUGUGCUGCUACUGGAAAUAAAUGCGUGCGUCUUGCCUGGACUUAAGAGAAGAACUUUAAAGUCAGCAUCAUAUCUUAAAGUGAUGAUCUCAAUGGAUCAAAGGUGAAGGAGGAUGCGACCAGUGCAUAAUGAAAAGACAGGCACAUACAUAUGGCCGCCUUUCUGCUGCAAGCCCUUACGUCACUCCACUGUCUACUCCUCCUACUGAUAAAUUGUAAGGCAGUAUCUGGGGAUCAAGUUGAGACCGAGAGACAUCAAAGGAGAGUGAUCUCAGAAAUUUAGAAUGGAUGGGAAGCCUAACUUGGAGAAUAAUCCUUUGGAAAGCAAUCUCUGCUGCAAGGAGAACACUGCAAACCAAAAGCAGAACCUUGAGGAUGAGGUGAUGCUUAAAUAUGAAUUGCCUCUAUAAUCUUAUGAAACCUCAGGUCAUGAUUUGAAACAGCUAAAAGGAUGAUUCACAGCAUUUGGCAUAAAUAUAUCCAUGUGCCUAAGAUAAGGCACGUGAUUACAUGCUGUUACACCACAAACUAUAUUAUUAAUUUGAGCUUCCCCUUGCCAAUUAGAAAUCCAGAAGAAAAAAAAAAAAAAAAAAGGAAUUGUCUCCAAAGAGUUCAAUUUGCUGUGAAACAAAAAACCCUAACAUAAAUGGCUCUGUUACUUCAGAAGGAAAUUAGUCUACCUAGACUACAAUAAAAAUAAAUGUUGCCACUGAAA
RNA transcript from Anas platyrhynchos (mallard), 887 nucleotides. It is a transcript of the gene named cyclin-dependent kinase inhibitor 1, with no coding region annotated. The record is from RefSeq and is a predicted model, not a curated record. NCBI's taxonomy places the organism in Eukaryota, Metazoa, Chordata, Aves, Anseriformes, Anatidae.